AUUACUUUGGCAGAUUUAGUGCUUUAAAUUUAGAAUUUAAAUAGACAUAAUUUAUUUAUGUAAGUAAUA
Molecule: transfer RNA, 69 nt
Filed under: Onitis alexis
Lineage: Eukaryota; Metazoa; Arthropoda; Insecta; Coleoptera; Scarabaeidae
Description: tRNA-Leu
Source: RNAcentral